ACUUAUCUGAUGAUGGAGCAGAGGUACUACUGCAGCACCUCUUGUUUAUUAUUCUCUAUUUGCUUAUCUUCUAUAAAACAUCUAUAUAGAGGGACACGUGCAUGUUAAACUGUUGUAAACUUCCAUUGUAUUGUCAUGUCCCUGUUGCAUUUUGUCAGUUGAGUUAGCACCCUGGAGAAAAUGACACUAGUUCUACAUGAUUUCUGCAAAUACUGGUUAUACAAUUUGCUGGCAUCUAAACCAUUUCAAAUCAAAGUUCUAUUGUUUUAGG
This 271-nucleotide unclassified non-coding RNA is filed under the name Hevea brasiliensis (rubber tree). Lineage: Eukaryota; Viridiplantae; Streptophyta; Magnoliopsida; Malpighiales; Euphorbiaceae. The record is from RNAcentral.